Molecule: ribosomal RNA, 245 nt
Filed under: uncultured bacterium
Lineage: Bacteria
Description: partial small subunit ribosomal RNA
Rfam family: Bacterial small subunit ribosomal RNA
Source: RNAcentral
AGAAUCAACGCUGGCGGCGUGCCUAACACAUGCAAGUCGCACGAGAAAGUGGAGCAAUCUACGAGUAAAGUGGCGCACGGGUGAGUAACACGUGAAUAAUCUACCUCCGAGUGGGGAAUAACUGAGAGAAAUCUUAGCUAAUACCGCAUAAUACCCACGGGUCAAAGCAGCAAUGCGCUUGGAGAGGAGUUCGCGGCCGAUUAGCUAGUUGGCGGGGUAAUGGCCCACCAAGGCGAUGAUCGGUA